CGAGUUUGAUCCUGGCUCAGAUUGAACGCUGGCGGUAUGCUUAACACAUGCAAGUCGAACGGAAACGAUGGUAGCUUGCUACCAGGCGUCGAGUGGCGGACGGGUGAGUAACGCGUAGGAAUCUGCCUGAUAGUGGGGGAUAGCCCAGAGAAAUCUGGAUUAAUACCGCAUAAUCUCUAUGGAGUAAAGGAGCCCUCUUCUUGAAAGGUUUCGCUAUCAGAUGAGCCUGCGUAAGAUUAGCUUGUUGGUGAGGUAAAAGCUCACCAAGGCGACGAUCUUUAGCUGGUCUGAGAGGAUGAUCAGCCACACUGGAACUGAGACACGGUCCAGACUCCUACGGGAGGCAGCAGUGGGGAAUAUUGGACAAUGGGCGCAAGCCUGAUCCAGCAAUACCGCGUGUGUGAAGAAGGCCUGAGGGUUGUAAAGCACUUUCAAUUGUGAAGAAAAGCUAAUGGCUAAUACCCAUUAGCCUUGACGUUAACUUUAGAAGAAGCACCGGCUAACUCCGUGCCAGCAGCCACGGUAAUACGGAGGGUGCAAGCGUUAAUCGGAAUUACUGGGCGUAAAGCGUGCGUAGGUGGUUUGUUAAGUUAGAUGUGAAAGCCCUGGGCUCAACCUAGGAACUGCAUUUAAAACUGGCAAACUAGAGUAUAGGAGAGGAAAGUGGAAUUUCAGGUGUAGCGGUGAAAUGC
This 692-nucleotide ribosomal RNA is filed under the name uncultured Gammaproteobacteria bacterium. RNAcentral's name for it is "bacterial SSU rRNA". It matches the Rfam family "Bacterial small subunit ribosomal RNA", at positions 9 to 689 of the family's 1533-position model. Lineage: Bacteria; Pseudomonadati; Pseudomonadota; Gammaproteobacteria. The record is from RNAcentral.